GAUGAACGCUGGCGGCGUGCCUAAUACAUGCAAGUCGAGCGAACGGACGAGAAGCUUGCUUCUCUGAUGUUAGCGGCGGACGGGUGAGUAACGCGUGGAUAACCUACCUAUAAGACUGGGAUAACUUCGGGAAACCGUAGCUAAUACCGGAUAAUAUUUUGAACCGCAUGGUUCAAAAGUGAAAGACGGUCUUGCUGUCACUUAUAGAUGGAUCCGCGCUGCAUUAGCUAGUUGGUAAGGUAACGGCUUACCAAGGCAACGAUGCAUAGCCGACCUGAGGGGGUGAUCGGCCACACUGGAACUGAGACACGGUCCAGACUCCUACGGGAGGCAGCAGUAGGGAAUCUUCCGCAAUGGGCGAAAGCCUGACGGAGCAACGCCGCGUGAGUGAUGAAGGUCUUCGGAUCGUAAAACUCUGUUAUUAGGGAAGAACAUAUGUGUAAGUAACUGUGCACAUCUUGACGGUACCUAAUCAGAAAGCCACGGCUAACUACGUG
This 497-nucleotide ribosomal RNA is filed under the name uncultured bacterium. RNAcentral describes it as "partial 16S ribosomal RNA". It matches the Rfam family "Bacterial small subunit ribosomal RNA", at positions 28 to 507 of the family's 1533-position model. The record is from RNAcentral.